UGCCAGACUCCUACGGGAGGCAGCAGUGGGGAAUAUUGCACAAUGGGGGGAACCCUGAUGCAGCGACGCCGCGUGAGUGAAGAAGUAUUUCGGUAUGUAAAGCUCUAUCAGCAGGGAAGAAAAUGACGGUACCUGACUAAGAAGCCCCGGCUAACUACGUGCCAGCAGCCGCGGUAAUACGUAGGGGGCAAGCGUUAUCCGGAUUCACUGGGUGUAAAGGGAGCGUAGACGGCCAUGCAAGCCUGGAGUGAAAGCCCGGGGCCCAACCCCGGGACUGCUCUGGGAACUGUGCGGCUGGAGUGCGGGAGGGGCAGGCGGAAUUCCUGGUGUAGCGGUGAAAUGCGUAGAUAUCAGGAGGAACACCGGCGGCGAAGGCGGCCUGCUGGACCGCGACUGACGUUGAGGCUCGAAAGCGUGGGGAGCAAACAGGAUUAGAUACCCCUGUAGUU
RNAcentral lists this ribosomal RNA (449 nucleotides) under uncultured bacterium. Its description in RNAcentral is "bacterial SSU rRNA". It matches the Rfam family "Bacterial small subunit ribosomal RNA", at positions 329 to 795 of the family's 1533-position model. The record is from RNAcentral.